UUUAUGAAGGGUAUGAUCUUGGCUCAGAACGAACGCUGGCGGCGUGGAUUAGGCAUGCAAGUCGAACGAGGAAGUGCCCCGUAAGGGGCGCAAGCCUAGUGGCGAAAGGGUGAGUAAUGCAUUGAUAACCUGCCUUUGAGAUGGGAAUAACUGCGUUUCGAGCAAUCGGAACUACCGAAAGGGCUGCUAAUACCCAAUAAAAUUAUUGUUGCUUCGGCAAUAAUAGUCAAAUAGGAGGAAUCGAAAGGUUUCGCUUGCUUAAAGAGGGGUUAAUGUCCUAUCAGCUAGUUGGUGGGGUAAUGGCCUACCAAGGCAAAGACGGGUAGCCGGCUUGAGAGGGUGGUCGGCCACACUGGGACUGAGACACUGCCCAGACUCCUACGGGAGGCUGCAGUCGAGAAUCUUCCGCAAUGGGGGAAACCCUGACGGAGCGACGCCGCGUGCGGGAAGAAGGCCUUCGGGUUGUAAACCGCUGUCACGGGUUAAGAACAGGCAUGGUGUUAAUAGCUCCAUGCCUUGACAAAGGCCCGGGAGGAAGCCACGGCUAACUUCGUGCCAGCAGCCGCGGUAAGACGAAGGUGGCGACCGUUGUUCGGAAUCACUGGGCAUAAAGAGCUCGUAGGCGGCGCUGUAAGUCGGGUGUGAAAUCCCUCGGCCCAACCGAGGAACUGCGCCCGAAACUGCAGUGCUUGAGGACGGGAGGGGAGCGUGGAAUUCCUGGUGGAGCGGUGAAAUGCGUUGAUAUCAGGAGGAACACCGGCGGCGAAGGCGACGCUCUGGUCCGUUUCUGACGCUGAGGAGCGAAAGCUAGGGGAGCAAACAGGAUUAGAUACCCUGGUAGUCCUAGCCGUAAACGAUGGGCACUAGGUAGGGGGGUACCCAAUGCCUCCUUGCUGGAGUUAAUAUAUUAAGUGCCCCGCCUGGGGAGUAUAGUCGCAAGGCUGAAACUCAAAGGAAUUGACGGGGGCUCACACAAGCGGUGGAGCAUGUUGUUUAAUUCGAAGCAACGCGCAGAACCUUACCUGGGCUUGACAUGCUAGUGGUAGGAACCUGAAAGGGGGACGACCCUCGAAAGAGGGAGCUAGCACAGGUGUUGCAUGGCUGUCGUCAGCUCGUGUCGUGAGAUGUCGGGUUAAGUCCCAUAACGAGCGAAACCCCUGUAUCCAGUUGCCAGCGAGUAAAGUCGGGGACUCUGGAUAGACUGCCGGUGUUAAACCGGAGGAAGGUGGGGAUGACGUCAAGUCCUCAUGGCCCUUAUAUCCCGGGCUGCACACGUGCUACAAUGGUCGGUACAAAGGGAUGCUAAGCCGUAAGGUGGAGCGAAACCCAGAAAGCCGAUCCCAGUUCAGAUUGGAGGCUGAAACCCGCCUCCAUGAAGUAGGAAUCGCUAGUAAUCGCGGAUCAGCUACGCCGCGGUGAAUAUGUUCCCGAGCCUUGUACACACCGCCCGUCAAGCCACCCAAGCAAGAUGCACCCAAAAUCGCCUGCCUAACCCGUAAGGGAGGGAAGUGCCUAAGGUGUGUUUUGUGAGGAGGACUAAGUCGUAACAAGGUAGUCGUAGGAGAACCUGCGGCUGGAUCACCUCCUUUCUAAGGAGUAA
This 1600-nucleotide ribosomal RNA is filed under the name Planctomycetia bacterium. RNAcentral's name for it is "bacterial SSU rRNA". It matches the Rfam family "Bacterial small subunit ribosomal RNA". The record is from RNAcentral. Lineage: Bacteria; Pseudomonadati; Planctomycetota; Planctomycetia.